UCAUUUUAACAAAGGAUUAAGAACUCCAAAAACCUUCACAAAUAUAUUGGUCUGCUUAUUUCUUUGCAUCCUGCCAGGGUGCUGAUGUUUCCAUUGGUUAAUAACUCAAGAAAAGAAUUCAACUUCUCCUGUUGAGUACGAACUUUAGCGGGGAUUACUACCAUUAUACACUUGUGACGUUGAGGCAGGAGGAGGCAGCACAACAUGAAGCUUUGGCUUGUUCUUGUUAGUCGAAUUACCUUGUGCGAAUCAAAAUGGCAUGAAAGCAACUAUCGUUAAUUGGACUAAGUAAGUUCUCUACACAUGCUUCUUUAUGAUAUAUUUGAAACUUUAUAUGAAUAAAUGAUACUAUUUUUCAUCUUUUCGUACUUUUUUGUUCCAAGAACAUUGUUACUAACUUUGGCUCCAAUUUAAAUUAAAAAGAGGUUGUCAAUAGGUUCAUCUGAACAUGACGAUUGACACCCAGCCAAUCAAACUCCACACUACAAACUUCUAAUAAUGUUCCACCUACCAUUUGUUACGUUUAUGUCCAAAAAACGUGUAGAGAAAAAGAAACAAAAGAAGAAACUGUCAGUUAUAUUUUAACUAUGGUCUGGACAAGUAACUGAACUUGAGGAGCGUCCCAACUUCUGGAGGGUAAGAAGUUUGAUUCAGUUGGCAUUGUCAAAUACUUAUCGCAGCAUCGGCAGAAUAGUACAUAUAGCCAAAGUUCAUUUUUCGUUGAUACAUUCAAAACGAACUCAUGGUGCAAUCACCUCGAGUUUCCCAAACCAGGAGGUGCUACCACCAACUGCAAUAACUUGUGAUUUCCUCGCUUUGAAAUAUGUUCAAUACUGAGCAUAGAAGAUGUCACACAGAAGACUUCUCAUGUAUCUUGGGUUCUUCAGGUGGCUGGUAACUUUCAAGGUGCUAAAUCUUCUGCAAAACACUGUUGAAUGGCUCUUGUAAAAAUUGCAGAGGAAUGAAGAUCACUUCCUGAUUGCAGUAAAGGUUGGGAGUACAAAUAGUCAUACAUGUCACUGGUGGGAAAAGAGUUACCCUAUUGUAGAAACUUCAGACAACAUAGACAUUCAGAUCACUUCCUGUUUGCAGUAAAGGUUGGGAGUACAAAUAGUCAGACAUGUCACUGGUGGGAAAAGAGUUACCCUAUUGUAGAAACUUCAGACAACAUAGACAUUCGAAAAAGCUAGAAUAAGUACAUGUCUUGGAAUUGUAUCUUAGCAUUAGAAAAGGUCAUACAGAAAACUUCCAUGUAUCCUGGGUUCUUGAGGUAGUCGGUAACUUCCAAGGUACUAAA
RNAcentral lists this long non-coding RNA (1297 nucleotides) under Capsicum annuum. RNAcentral's name for it is "long non-coding RNA (CANN_LNC016657)". Lineage: Eukaryota; Viridiplantae; Streptophyta; Magnoliopsida; Solanales; Solanaceae. The record is from RNAcentral.